RNAcentral lists this ribosomal RNA (497 nucleotides) under uncultured bacterium. RNAcentral's name for it is "partial 16S ribosomal RNA". It matches the Rfam family "Bacterial small subunit ribosomal RNA", at positions 28 to 507 of the family's 1533-position model. The record is from RNAcentral.
GAUGAACGCUGGCGGCGUGCCUAAUACAUGCAAGUCGAGCGAACAGACGAGGAGCUUGCUCCUCUGACGUUAGCGGCGGACGGGUGAGUAACACGUGGAUAACCUACCUAUAAGACUGGGAUAACUUCGGGAAACCGGAGCUAAUACCGGAUAAUAUAUUGAACCGCAUGGUUCAAUAGUGAAAUACGGUUUUGCUGUCACUUAUAGAUGGAUCCGCGCCGCAUUAGCUAGUUGGUAAGGUAACGGCUUACCAAGGCGACGAUGCGUAGCCGACCUGAGAGGGUGAUCGGCCACACUGGAACUGAGACACGGUCCAGACUCCUACGGGAGGAAGCAGUAGGGAAUCUUCCGCAAUGGGCGAAAGCCUGACGGAGCAACGCCGCGUGAGUGAUGAAGGUCUUCGGAUCGUAAAACUCUGUUAUUAGGGAAGAACAAAUGUGUAAGUAACUAUGCACGUCUUGACGGUACCUAAUCAGAAAGCCACGGCUAACUACGUG